UACGUAGGCAGCGAGCGUUGUUCGGAGUUACUGGGCGUAAAGCGUGCGUAGGCGGUCUUGUAAGUUUGGUGUGAAAUCUCCCGGCUCAACUGGGAGGGUGCGCCGAAAACUGCAAGGCUGGAGUAUGGGAGAGGUAGGCGGAAUUCCUGGUGUAGCGGUGAAAUGCGUAGAUAUCAGGAGGAACACCUGUGGUGUAGACGGCUUACUGGACCAUGACUGACGCUGAGGCACGAAAGCGUGGGGAGCAAACAGG
RNAcentral lists this ribosomal RNA (253 nucleotides) under uncultured bacterium. RNAcentral describes it as "partial 16S ribosomal RNA". It matches the Rfam family "Bacterial small subunit ribosomal RNA", at positions 524 to 776 of the family's 1533-position model. The record is from RNAcentral.